GACGAACGCUGGCGGCGUGCUUAACACAUGCAAGUCGAACGCGCCUGUCCUCGGGGUUUCUGGGGGGGGGGUGGGUGGCGGACGGGUGAGUAACACGUGAGUAACCUGCCACCUUCUUCGGAAUAACGGUAUGAAAGGGCUGCUAAUACCGGGUAUUCACUGGUCUCCGCAUGGGGUCUGGAGGAAAGGUUUUUUUCUGGUGAGGGAUGGGGUCGCGGCCUAUCAGCUUGUUGGUGGGGUAAUGGCCCACCAAGGCUUUGACGGGUAGCCGGCCUGAGAGGGCGCCCGGGAACAUUGGGACGGAGAUGAGGCCUAGACUCGGACGGGGGGCAGCAGUGGGGAAUAUUGGAGAAUGGGUGAAAGCCUGACGCCGCGUCGGCGCGUGAGGGAUGGAGGCCGUCGGGCUGUGAUACUCGUGCGCAAGUGGUCUAGCCGCGACGUGGGUCGUGGUGAGGGUAGUGGGUAAAGAAGCGCCGGCUAACUACGUG
RNAcentral lists this ribosomal RNA (488 nucleotides) under uncultured bacterium. RNAcentral describes it as "partial 16S ribosomal RNA". It matches the Rfam family "Bacterial small subunit ribosomal RNA", at positions 28 to 507 of the family's 1533-position model. The record is from RNAcentral.